This 859-nucleotide ribosomal RNA is filed under the name uncultured bacterium. RNAcentral's name for it is "bacterial SSU rRNA". It matches the Rfam family "Bacterial small subunit ribosomal RNA", at positions 43 to 900 of the family's 1533-position model. The record is from RNAcentral.
CAGGCCUAACACAUGCAAGUCGAACGGUAACAGGAUGUGCUUGCACAUCGCUGACGAGUGGCGGACGGGUGAGUAAUGCUUGGGAACUUGCCUUUGCGAGGGGGAUAACAGUUGGAAACGACUGCUAAUACCGCAUAAUGUCUACGGACCAAACGGGGCUUAGGCUCCGGCGCAGAGAGAGGCCCAAGUGAGAUUAGCUAGUUGGUGAGGUAAAGGCUCACCAAGGCGACGAUCUCUAGCUGUUCUGAGAGGAAGAUCAGCCACACUGGGACUGAGACACGGCCCAGACUCCUACGGGAGGCAGCAGUGGGGAAUAUUGCACAAUGGGGGGAACCCUGAUGCAGCCAUGCCGCGUGUGUGAAGAAGGCCUUCGGGUUGUAAAGCGCUUUCAGUUGUGAGGAAAAGUGAGUAGUUAAUACCUGCUCACCGUGACGUUAACAACAGAAGAAGCACCGGCUAACUCCGUGCCAGCAGCCGCGGUAAUACGGAGGGUGCGAGCGUUAAUCGGAAUUACUGGGCGUAAAGCGCACGCAGGCGGUUUGUUAAGCUAGAUGUGAAAGCCCCGGGCUCAACCUGGGAUGGUCAUUUAGAACUGGCAGACUAGAGUCUUGGAGAGGGGAGUGGAAUUCCAGGUGUAGCGGUGAAAUGCGUAGAUAUCUGGAGGAACAUCAGUGGCGAAGGCGACUCCCUGGCCAAAGACUGACGCUCAUGUGCGAGAGUGUGGGUAGCGAACAGGAUUAGAUACCCUGGUAGUCCACACCGUAAACGCUGUCUACUAGCUGUUUGUGACUUUAAGUCGUGAGUAGCGAAGCUAACGCGAUAAGUAGACCGCCUGGGGAGUCGGCCGCAAGGUUAAAAC